Molecule: ribosomal RNA, 253 nt
Filed under: uncultured bacterium
Lineage: Bacteria
Description: partial 16S ribosomal RNA
Rfam family: Bacterial small subunit ribosomal RNA
Source: RNAcentral
UACGUAGGUGGCAAGCGUUGUCCGGAAUUACUGGGCGUAAAGGGCGUGUAGGCGGCCUUUUAAGUCAGGCGUGAAAUCCAUGGGCUUAACCCAUGAAUUGCGUUUGAAACUGGAAGGCUUGAGGACCGGAGAGGGUAGUGGAAUUCCCAGUGUAGCGGUGAAAUGCGUAGAUAUUGGGAGGAACACCAGUGGCGAAGGCGACUGCCUGGACGGCACCUGACGCUGAGGCGCGAAAGCUAGGGGAGCAAACGGG